RNAcentral lists this unclassified non-coding RNA (399 nucleotides) under soil metagenome. Its description in RNAcentral is "partial contains 5.8S ribosomal RNA, internal transcribed spacer 2, and large subunit ribosomal RNA". The stretch from base 1 to 122 matches the Rfam family "5.8S ribosomal RNA", at positions 35 to 154 of the family's 154-position model. The record is from RNAcentral.
GAUGAAGAACGCAGCGAAAUGCGAUACUUGGUGUGAAUUGCAGAAUCCCGUGAACCAUCGAGUCUUUGAACGCAAGUUGCGCCUCAAGCCAUUAGGUUGAGGGCACGUCUGCCUGGGCGUCACAUAUCGUUGCCUGAUGCCAGUUUCCUCGUGAUGGGUGACUGUGCAGGGCGAAUGAUGGCUUCCCGUGAGCAUUGUUGCCUCAUGGUUGGUUGAAAAUUGAGUCCUUGGUAGGGAGCGCCGUGAUAGAUGGUGGUUGAGUGACGAACGAGACCCAAUCAUGUGAGACCCCUACCGAAUUUGGCCUUCAUGACCCACAUGCGUCUUUGGAACGCUCAUGACGAGACCUCAGGUCAGGCGGGGCUACCCGCUGAGUUUAAGCAUAUCAUAAGCGGAGGA